CCUACGGGUGGCAGCAGUGGGGAAUAUUGCGCAAUGGGCGAAAGCCUGACGCAGCGACGCCGCGUGAGGGAUGAAGGUCUUCGGAUCGUAAACCUCUGUCAGCAGGGAAGAGCGGUCACUGUGCUAAUCAGCAGUGAAUUGACGGUACCUGCAAAGGAAGCACCGGCUAACUCCGUGCCAGCAGCCGCGGUAAUACGGAGGGGGCGAGCGUUAAUCGGAAUUACUGGGCGUAAAGCGCUCGUAGGCGGUAUGUCAAGUCAAGGGUGAAAUCCCCGGGCUCAACGUGGGAACUGCCUUUGAAACUGGCAAACUGGAGUGUGUGAGAGGAUAGUGGAAUUCCAGGUGUAGGAGUGAAAUGCGUAGAUAUCUGGAGGAACAUCAGUGGCGAAGGCGACUAUCUGGCACAUAACUGACGCUGAGGAGCGAAAGCGUGGGUAGCAAACAGGAUUAGAUACCCCAGUAGUC
Molecule: ribosomal RNA, 465 nt
Filed under: uncultured bacterium
Lineage: Bacteria
Description: partial 16S ribosomal RNA
Rfam family: Bacterial small subunit ribosomal RNA
Source: RNAcentral